This 529-nucleotide long non-coding RNA is filed under the name Mytilus galloprovincialis (Mediterranean mussel). Lineage: Eukaryota; Metazoa; Mollusca; Bivalvia; Mytilida; Mytilidae. The record is from RNAcentral.
AUAAAUCCACGCAAUAAUUUCUGAAUUUAGAGUAAGCAGAUAAAUGUUAACAGCAUUUCCUCCAUAAAGUUUCAGGAAUGAGCAUUCGAACAAGUAUCAUUCAUAUGUCAGUAUUUUAAUUAUGUGUGACAUGUAUCCCUAAGUGUUUGCACAAAGGCUACGUUUUGUUACAAGAACAUUCAUAGGGCAGUAGUUUUAGAAAUAUUUGUUGUUGAAUUUUUCAUAAAUUUAUGUUCGUUUGAAAUUAAAUUUUUAAACUGUUUUCUUUAAAGGAGUAGGGGCAAUAAGGCCCUUAUUUGGCCCAAAAAUUACUGCAAAUUUAAAAGUUAUCAUACAUAUUUUUAAAUUACUGAAAAGUAUCUCAGGUAGAAGGUAUUCAGAAAAACUAAAUAAUUUUGGACAUUGAACAAGUUACCAUGGCAACAAAUCAUGCCUUAAUUUGCAUAUUUUGUAAAAUUUUGUGUUUUUCCUUGUUUUUCAUCAAAUUUUUAAGUAUAUUUUUGAUUGGAAAAGUAUGUGCGCACCCAAG